Molecule: ribosomal RNA, 369 nt
Filed under: Triticum aestivum (bread wheat)
Lineage: Eukaryota; Viridiplantae; Streptophyta; Magnoliopsida; Poales; Poaceae
Description: partial small subunit ribosomal RNA
Source: RNAcentral
AUGAAACCCCUUAUACAACGGGAUAAAUACAAAGGGGUACAUGACUUAUAUUAUAACUCUAACAGCCGGCAGCCCCUGAACUUCUCGCCGCGCCGCGGACGAUCUGCCACUGCUGCGAAGGCCAAGCCCUGCGUGCCGCCCACCGCUGAGCGUCGUGCGCAGGUCCAGAUACUGCGCACCCUUGGCAUCAUCGGCACCGAUCAAGUGAUCUCCGCCGAGGCCAUGAAGGCAUACGAUGGGGUCUUUGCUGCGCCCCUUUCUCAUGCCGUGUUGACGGCCAUUGCCGUGCUUGUUGGCCGCGUGCUACCCGCCGACCCGUCCACGGCGCCUGUCACCACGGUGAUCUCGAGCAGCCCGAUCGAGGCCUAG